UGGUGAUUUUAAAGACUGAACUCAUUGGUGGGAACCCUCAGCCAUUUCAUUUUGUUUUAAGAAUUUGGAGUCUCCCCAUUCUUCAGUUUGUCUUUGCAAAUCUCAAUUGAUUCCCACUUUUGGAAAUUCAUUCAGUGAUCAUCAUUAUCAUUAUCAUUAUCAUCCAUUUCUUUCUCUGAAGAGUCCCACCUCACACACCAUGGUUUUAGAGGGGUUGAUCCGAGUUUGAUGCUAUGUGCUAAUAAUUUUUCAUCAGGACCGUGAAAUGCCUAAUGGAUGGCCACUUGGACUGGGAAACUUGAACAUGAGACUUCGAGUGACAGAGAGCUUACAUCCUGCUGCAACAGAACCACAUCCUUUACACACACCUUCGUCCAGUUGCUCCUCAUUUUCAUCCUCUAACCUUGAUACAGAGUCUACAGCAUCUUUCUUCCAAGACCAUAGCGUGUCACUGGGCCGGCUAAUUGGAAUUAGGUCAAGGGGAGGA
Camellia sinensis is the source of this 487-nucleotide long non-coding RNA. RefSeq lists it as uncharacterized. The record is from RefSeq and is a predicted model, not a curated record. Lineage: Eukaryota; Viridiplantae; Streptophyta; Magnoliopsida; Ericales; Theaceae.